GAUGAACGCUAGCUACAGGCUUAACACAUGCAAGUCGAACGGAAAGGCCCUGCUUUUGUGGGGUGCUCGAGUGGCGAACGGGUGAGUAACACGUGAGUAACCUGCCCUUGACUUUGGGAUAACUUCAGGAAACUGGGGCUAAUACCGGAUAGGAGCUCCUGCUGCAUGGUGGGGGUUGGAAAGUUUCGGCGGUUGGGGAUGGACUCGCGGCUUAUCAGCUUGUUGGUGGGGUAGUGGCUUACCAAGGCUUUGACGGGUAGCCGGCCUGAGAGGGUGACCGGCCACAUUGGGACUGAGAUACGGCCCAGACUCCUACGGGAGGCAGCAGUGGGGAAUAUUGCACAAUGGGCGGAAGCCUGAUGCAGCAACGCCGCGUGCGGGAUGACGGCCUUCGGGUUGUAAACCGCUUUCGCCUGUGACGAAGCGUGAGUGACGGUAAUGGGUAAAGAAGCACCGGCUAACUACGUG
RNAcentral lists this ribosomal RNA (468 nucleotides) under uncultured bacterium. RNAcentral's name for it is "partial 16S ribosomal RNA". It matches the Rfam family "Bacterial small subunit ribosomal RNA", at positions 28 to 507 of the family's 1533-position model. The record is from RNAcentral.